Molecule: ribosomal RNA, 468 nt
Filed under: uncultured bacterium
Lineage: Bacteria
Description: partial 16S ribosomal RNA
Rfam family: Bacterial small subunit ribosomal RNA
Source: RNAcentral
GACGAACGCUGGCGGCGUGCUUAACACAUGCAAGUCGAACGGAAAGGCCCUGCUUUUGUGGGGUGCUCGAGUGGCGAACGGGUGAGCAACACGUGAGUAACCUGCCCUUGACUUUGGGAUAACUUCAGGAAACUGGGGCUAAUACCGGAUAGGAGCUCCUGCUGCAUGGUGGGGGUUGGAAAGUUUCGGCGGUUGGGGAUGGACUCACGGCUUAUCAGCUUGUUGGUGGGGUAGUGGCUUACCAAGGCUUUGACGGGUAGCCGACCUGAGAGGGUGACCGGCCACAUUGGGACUGAGAUACGGCCCAGACUCCUACGGGAGGCAGCAGUGGGGAAUAUUGCACAAUGGGCGGAAGCCUGAUGCAGCAACGCCGCGUGCGGGAUGACGGCCUUCGGGUUGUAAACCGCUUUCGCCUGUGACGAAGCGUGAGUGACGGUAAUGGGUAAAGAAGCACCGGCUAACUACGUG